AGAAAUUUAUGGAAAAUUUUGUUACGUCUAAAAACAACACAUAAGUAUAUGUACCAGCAUGUCUAUUUUUAGGUAAGUUUAGUUAGCUUCGAUAAGACCGAUCUUUAAGUAAAAGUCUCGCCAACACUGUAGAGAGCAUCCCACAAAUGAUGGACGGAUUUGAAUUGACCUCAAACAAGAAUGUAAGUAGGUGAGGACAUUGGUUCAGGCUGGUUCGGGCCCAAAACUCCAAUUCAGUCCAACCCUCGGGUGAUAUAUAGAACAAGAGAGAAGGAAGAAAGAAAAACGGGAACACAAACAUAAAAACGAGAAAAAUGAGAGAGGGAAGAAAAGGUUUGUGACUAAUUUGUGGGUAAGAGAUUUCAGCCACCUCUAUUUUUUUCUGUUUCAUUUUCUUAUAAAUUUAGGGUUUUGAUUUUGUAGUUAGGGUUUGUGUUCUUAAAAUAUUUCUUAAACUGAAUUCGAAGAAAGGAACAACAUGGACUGGAGAAUAACAUAGGUGUCUGAAAUAUUUUACUUCAAUUUAGGUUUUGAUUGUGUAUUAUUGUCUAACUAACAAUUUACUGUUUUUACAAUGUUGUCGGUGUUUUACAAUUUUGAUUUCUUUCUUCAAUAUUUUAAACAGGGAAACAAAAGAGAUUUAGAAAGGAAUAUUUUGACCAACAACUUUAAUGCAGAUGUGGUUAGAAAUCAAUUUAUUCGUAAUCGGGUCCAGUUUGAAGUUUGUGUAUUAUAUCUUCUAAUCUGAGUUUUUUAUUUAUUUUAAGCUUUACAUGCAUGAUCAACGCAUCUCUAGAAUCUGUCGAUAUUGAUAUUCUGUUAUUUAUUUUCUAUUAUGACUUGAAAUCAUUCUCUAACUUAAUUCAACAGAAUUUGACAGUGGAGGAACAAUGACUCAAAUGGAAAUCAUUAUGGUGGGCAUGGUUAUGAUGCAAAGGUCCUAUUGCUCGUACGCCUGUAAAUUAUAACGUUAGCUUGCAAACAACAGUAUCAAGGAUAGUGAUGGCGUUCACGGUGUUAAUGACGUUUAAAUUUUUGACAAAACAGUUAUAUUUCACUAUCAAAGUAAUGCUAGCAGCAAUAAUUCUUUCUACUAUACCAAGACUUAUUGAUUAUAAAAAAAACAUAUGAAAUGUGGAAAGUUGAUAAAUUAGAUUUUAUUACAUGUGCUGGAGCAUUCUUUGGAGUGUUGUUUUCAUGUGUGGAAAUAAGCCUUGCAAUUGGAGUAUGACUAUCUAUUGCAUUUUAUUUACAUCUUUUUGAUUUCAUUUUUACUUCAACUGAUAAAUAUUACAGGCCGCGUUAUCAUUUGUAAAGAUAGUUUUGAUAUCGAUUCAACCUAGAAUGUGUUAAGCCAUUGUGUUAAUUUAAUGGACAUCUUUGUCAUAGGAAAACAUACUGUGGUUGGAAUCGAUAGUUAGCUACGAAAGUUGAGAUUUAAUUUAUGUACAAAAUUGAAAUCAAGUAUUUAUGUUUCUUUAACUACAAUAUUAAAUAAGUUGUAACUUAUUUCUUUAAUAUUUUGAUCCAUGUGUAAUUGAACUUGGUGUUUAUGAAAUUUUAGGUUUUCCAUUGCAGGGCAUCGUAGCUGAUACAUCAAAUAAUGCGAUCUUUCAAGUCAUCAAGGCAUUGUUUAACAUGAGGAUCCUUAAACUUUAUGUGUGUGCCUAUCGACUCGAAAAAAUGCAACCUGCUACAUACUUUAUAUCUAUCAACAUUGAUUUCCCAAACUUUCUUGGACAUUGGUUCUGUUUCAAGGAUAUUGGAUGGCAUCAUGAAGCUUUCCCUGCAAUUUUACUGGGAUAUUGAGAACCAAGCUAACUUCUCCAAUACUUCUGAAUUGGAUCAUAUAGAUGAGGUGAGGGUGGAUUUCUAGCAUUUUUGUGACAAACCUUUAAUUUAUAAAACUUUGGUUAGUUAAUUUAUGAUUUCACCAUUCUAAUUAAUAUAAUGAAAUUUUUGAAAUUUUUAGAAACAACCCUUAUUCAAUCCCCCCCUUUCUAAGUGUUUUCACUCCAUCAAUUGGCAUCAGAGCGUCGGUUCUAGGUGCAAACACUUAAUCGUGUUAGAGAAAAGAUUCAGGAGAAAAACACAAAAUGGUUGAUCCAGCUCCAACUCCUACUGAGCAGAACAACAAUGGUAACAAUGGAGGUAACAACUUCAAUGGUUACAAUAGACCACCAAUCUUUGAUGGUGAGAACUUUGAAUAUUGGAAAGAUAGACUUGAGAGUUAUUUUCUAUGUCAAGAUGGUGAUCUAUGGGAUUUAGUGUUGGAUGGUUACACACAUCCGGUGAAUGCUCGUGGAUUCAAGAUUACUAGAAAAGCUAUGAGUGAUGAUCAAAAGAAAGAGUUCAAAAAUCAUCACAAAAAAAGAACUAUAUUGUUAAAUGCCAUUUCACAUGCUGAGUAUGAGAAGAUCACAAACAGAGAAACUGCUCAUGACAUCUUUGAAUCUCUGAAGAUGACUCAUGAAGGAAAUGCACAAGUCAAGGAGACAAAAGCUCUGGCUCUAAUUCAGAAGUAUGAAGCUUUCAGAAUGGAAGAUGAUGAAAACAUUGAAGCAAUGUUCUCCAGAUUCCAGACUCUGACUGCAGGAUUAAGAGUUCUUGACAAGGGAUACACAAAAGCUGAUCACAUUAAGAAGAUAAUCAGAAGUUUACCCAGAAGAUGGGGACCAAUGGUUACAGCAUUCAAGAUUGCAAAGAACUUGAAUGAAGUAUCUCUUGAGGAGCUUAUAAGUGCUCUGAGGAGUCAUGAGCUUGAGCUAGAUGCGAAUGAGCCUUAGAAGAAAGGUAAGUCUGUUGCUUUAAAAUCUAAAAAUAAAAAUUGUGCUAACGCUUUUCAGGCAGAAGAAGAAGGAUCUGACCAGUCAGAAGAAGAAGAAGACGAUGAAUUGUCUCUCUUAUCCAGAAGGGUGAAUCAACUCUGGAAGAGAAAGCAGAGAAGAUUCAAGAACUUCAAGAGACCUAAAAAGGGAGAAUCUUCUGAACACAGAAGAUCCGGAAAGAAGAAGGUAGUGUGCUAUGAAUGUAAAGAACCUGGACACUACAAGAAUGAAUGUCCUAAGCUUCAGAGGGAAAAUCCCAGAAAGAAGUUUGAAAAAAAGAAAGGCAUGAUGGCUACAUGGGAUGACUCUGAUUCAUCUGAUCAAGACUCAUACUUUGAAGAUGAAUGUAAUACGGUGGGAGAACUGACUUUUUUGAAAUGUUGCAGAUAGCAAGAGUCGCCACCGACUUUUAUUUUAUCCAAUUUUGGAAAGGCUAAAAGAACAGAAAAAGACCUUUUAAAAGAACUUUGAGUUUGGCUGGUAAGUUAUACAAAGGGAAGGUGUAAGCACCCUUUGUAUCCAUGGUUAUCCAUGGGCUCUUAAUUGCUUAGCUCACUUUGUUUGUUUGAAUUGUUUGAAAAGUGUCGUGUGUGAAUAGGAAAAGUUUUGAAUAAGGACUUUAGCUUGUAAAUAAGCGUAGCCUUUUGGAAAUUAUUUUGAAAAGGAUGUGUGAAAAGUAAUUUGAAAGUUGUUGUGAGCAAGCAGUUAAAAGCACCUACCCUAAGUUUAAUGUCUUUCUUGUUCUUUAAGAUUUUCGUUUGAAAGGGCUAUCCAUACCAUAAGGAGGGCAGGUAGUCUUUUCAUUGGAUGUGCGGGUCAUCGAAGGGUCAUCGAGAAUUAUCGUUCGCCAUAAGGCUAUCCAUACCAUAAAGAGGGUAGGAAGUCUCAAGGAAGGAUGAAAUAGUAAUUUAGGCAACCAGUGAGGAUACCUUAGCAAUUGGGACAAUCAUCAUUUACCGAGGCAACAUCGAGGGACAAGAUCAUUUUUCUGUUAGGCAACUUUGAAGGGACAUAUGAUCUUAUGAUGAUUUAUGAACUGAGGGAAACAUUUGCUUUAGGUAUCCUCGUAUUCGAGGGACUUGACUAUUUUAGAAUUUAAAGGCAACAAGCAACAAAAGAGGUUACCCUAAAGGUGUGUGUGUGGCACAAUCAGGUGAUCAAUAUUCAGAUAUUUUAUCUUGUAAUUAGAAUGAUACUAGGUUAAUUUUAGCAAGACUUGCACUCCCUAGGAUUACUAACCACAGCGGAAAAAUAAACAGAAUUAAAUGUCCUACGCUAUUACAAUAAACACCUGUAGGGCUGAAAAAUAAAGGCAGGAAAGUAAACCUAAACUAUUACAAUAAAACUUUGCGCCCUAUACAUAGUUUCUAGAAUUUAAAUGGCAGAAAUUAAAAUAAAUUAAAAUAAAGGCAAAUAAUUUAAAUAAAUUAAAAUAAAGGAAAGUAAUUUAAAUAAAUAAAAAACGAAAUUUAAAUAAAAUAGAUAAUUAAAAUUAAAGGCAUGCGACAAUCAAGGGAGUAUGAGGUGAGAAGAUAAUUGCGCUUGAAAAAAUUCAAUGUUUGAUUACAAAAGGUAAACCUAAACCUACGGUUAAUGGGCAACACCUACCUUAAGAUCUCUAGGGUUAUCUAUGGUUUGUUGAAGUUAAAGACUAAACCUAAUUGUAAACCUAAAAUUAAUUUAAAAUUAUUAUACCUAAAAUUAAUUAAAAUUAUUAAACCUAAAAUUAAUUAAAAUUAUUAAACCUAAAAUUAAUUAAAAUUAUUAAACCUAAAAUUAAUUAAAAUUAUUAAUUAAUUACCCUAAUUGGCCUAAUUAUUCUAAUUCUAAUUAUUAAAACCUAAUUAAAUAUCUAAAAAAACUAACUUGGUUAAUUAUUAUUAUCCUAACCUUAAUCUAAGUUUUAAUUGGUUAAUUGGGAAAUAUGAACUAAUUAAAUACCAAAUAAAAAAAAGAAUAAAACAAAUAAUAAAAUAAAGAAGAAAGAGAGAGUCAAAACUGGGCGUGUAGGAUUCUGUGUGGUUGUCCAUUGAGGGUCCAUCGUGGUGAGGCUUUAUCUGGAGCGUCGGAUCAGGCCACACGAGCAUCUAAUGGCUGGAAAGGAGAGCAUACCCUGGGCGCAUGAGGGAGAGAAGCGCUGGAUCCGUGAUCAAGUAAAUGGAAAAAAAUGUUGUCUGGCCUGGGGAUCGAACACAGGACCCAGCGUUCAACACAUUCUUUACCAUAUCUGCAGCAAUCAUCUUUUGUUAAAUAAACACGCGAAAUAAACUAAAUAAGGAUAAAUAAAUAAACGGUGAAAAGUCAAAAGAUUAGGACUCGGACCCAUAUGUGCACAGAGAACCAAUAAGGGUGAGAGAGAGAAAUCAAAAGGUGUUGACUGGCCACUCAGAACUCUCCACGCGCGAUCAGAAAGGGAGAGAGAAAUCAAGCUCGUUGACUGGGCGAUGAUGGCUUUCCACGCGUGCAACCUUUGAUGGACACCACUGUUCAUCUUCUUCGUUGAAAUUACCUUCGGAUUUACUUAGGAUUUUCACUACAACUUUUCUUGCGAUAAAACCUGGGUAACUAAAACAUACAAAAUAAACGUCAAAGCACAAACUGAAUUGCCUAGAUCUCCUUAAAAUCAUCUCCUGGUCAUGAAUAUGACCUUCGUUUUGCUUAAAAGCCCCUGAAAAUAAGAACACGAAAGGCAAGCUUCAUAGUGCCCUAGGCCCCUAGAAAUGUUGUUCUUCGUUAUGUACCUUAUUAGUCUAAACUAAUGGUCCAGACCUUCUUAAAAAUAUGCAUAAGACUCAAACAAAUUGUUAGUUCAAGCAGAAACACGAUAAUAUGCAAGAUAUGGAAAUUAGAAUGAUUAUGGAGCAUAUGAAAUACGUAUUCUGGACAUCAUAGAGCUUGGUUCUUGAUCCAACAUUACCUUCUAAUACCUCAGAGGUUGAAUGGAACGAUCAAAAGGCGUUGAAACUUGUUGUACGAGAAAAGCUCGAUUGCCCUAGUUUCUUUGUAUUUUAGCAACGUGAUAACCUUGUUUUUGCUCCACUUUUUUCGUCCCUUCUAUUGUGUAUGGCAUGAGGUAUAUAUAAGGGUGUGAAUUAGGGUAAAAAUCUUGCUUGGAAAUCAAGUUGAAUGGAGAGAAGAAAAUUGAAAAGAUUUGAUUGAAAAUUUAUGUAAAAUCUUGCUAUUUUUGUUUCAAUCUCUUUCCAAUCACCAUAUUUGAUUUAUUUGAGUUUUAAGAAUGAUUUUGUGAUUGAAAAAAUCAAAUCAUGCACCAAUUUGAUUUUUAUUUAUUUUUUCUUGAUUUAAUUUGAAUAAAAUCAAGAAAUAAAAAAAAUAAAAAAAAU
Molecule: long non-coding RNA, 6169 nt
Organism: Vicia villosa (hairy vetch)
Lineage: Eukaryota; Viridiplantae; Streptophyta; Magnoliopsida; Fabales; Fabaceae
Exons: 4
Source: RefSeq, a predicted model, not a curated record